CAAUAGCGUAUAUUUAAGUUGUUGCAGUUAAAAAGCUCGUAGUUGGAUUUCUGCUGAUCGCUGUCGGUCUGCCGUCAGGUGUGUACUGGCAGUGUUUGGCAUCUAUUCGAGAUUGGGUGUCCACUUGAUUGUGUGCACUCGAUGUCGGAGCUAAUACUUUGAGAAAAUUAGAGUGUUCCACGCAGGCGCGUGCCUUGAAUACUGCAGCAUGGGAUAUUGGAAGGCCGAUUGAGCUUUCUUGUUGGUUCUCGGUUUGAUCGGAAUGAUUAAUAGGGAUAGUUGGGGGCAUUUGUAUUCAACUGUCAGAGGUGAAAUUCUUGGAUUUGUUGAAGACGGACUACUGCGAAAGCAUCUGCCAUGGAUGUUCUCAUUGA
RNAcentral lists this ribosomal RNA (374 nucleotides) under uncultured eukaryote. RNAcentral describes it as "partial 18S ribosomal RNA". It matches the Rfam family "Eukaryotic small subunit ribosomal RNA", at positions 592 to 976 of the family's 1831-position model. The record is from RNAcentral.